AUAUAUAGCGUGAAUAAAUCCCGUCAAUGUAGUGAAUGUACUCUAUUGGUACUUGUUAGCCCAGCGCACUCUGUCUAUCCAGCUCCGUGUUUCUCCCGUGCCCCGUUCCGUCUCAUACUCUCUCUUGUGACACUGUUGGUUAAGUGACCUGAGUUAUUCUGACCAGUGUUAAAGAUGUCAGUCAUGUCACCUCAGAGAGCACUACUCCUCAUCCAUAGGAAUAUGAGAAUUCGAUCAGGAUGGAGCAAGCACCUUCUGAGUGGUCCAUCUACUCUUCCCUACCAUCCCUCUGGCCCUUGCAUUCCUCGGCUGGCCCUUGUCAGCAACCCUGUCCGUGCCCUGUCGUCUGAAGCCCCCACUGGGCCAGGCUGGGGCACGCCGACGGCAGACAACGAUCGGUAUGAUAACCUUCACGUCACCUUCAGGGACGGUGUGCGUACUAUCACUUUCAACAGGCCUGAAAAGAAGAAUGCUCUUACUGAGAAGAUGUUUGCAGAUGUUGUUAAUGCCUUAGAAGAAGCUGCCAAGGACCCAGACACUGUAGUGACGGCCACCACUGGAGCCGGUAAUGUUUUCUGUGCUGGGAAUGAUAAGACAAACUUUCAAAACUUGACAAUGAAGCAAGUACAAGAACUCCUGACCAGACACAUGGCAGCUUUUAUAGACUUCCCCAAACCUCUGAUAGCUGUAGUGAAUGGGGCUGCUGUUGGGGCUGUAUUUUUCACACCAUUCUCAAGCUUGGGCAUCACUUUGGAGGGAUGUUCCAGCUUUACCUUCCCACGAUUCAUGGGUCAGGCAAAGGCUUAUGAAAUAUUGAUGUUCAACAAACUGUCUUUAUGAAGAAGUGUGGCCUCGUUUGCAGACCAUGGCAAAACUCCCGCAGAAGUCGCUGAUCUACAGCAAAGCUCUAACUAGGGAUGUGAUUAAAGACAGACUACACAAGAUUAAUAUUGAAGAGUG
This 960-nucleotide unclassified non-coding RNA is filed under the name Portunus trituberculatus (swimming crab). RNAcentral's name for it is "enoyl-CoA delta isomerase 2-like, transcript variant X3". Lineage: Eukaryota; Metazoa; Arthropoda; Malacostraca; Decapoda; Portunidae. The record is from RNAcentral.